CAAACCUGUGCAGCCAUACCCAGUUCAUCUCUUUUUCAGCUACUUCCACAGAGAAAUGGGGACAAAGACACCUCAGUGAUAAAGCACUCUACUGUUCCUGGAGUGUACCUGGAGCACCGAGGGCAAGGCACCCUUACUGCAAAGCAGAUGAGAUUGCAGUAUCUGUCCCUGAGAACACGGCUGCCUGCCUGCUUCUGGAGCGCUGCGGGUCAUGCUGAUGACUGCACCCGCAGGGACGGCAAGUGCUCGUUCUGUCUUGUGGUCUGACUAUGUACCCAGGAUAGAUGGCCUGAUUGUAAAGUGUCACGCCAAAAAGAUGAUCCUUUGGACAUCAGCUGAGACAAACAGGUACUUCUUCAUGU
Molecule: non-coding RNA, 362 nt
Organism: Meleagris gallopavo (turkey)
Lineage: Eukaryota; Metazoa; Chordata; Aves; Galliformes; Phasianidae
Source: RefSeq, a predicted model, not a curated record